RNAcentral lists this small RNA (125 nucleotides) under Marmota monax (woodchuck). The record is from RNAcentral. Lineage: Eukaryota; Metazoa; Chordata; Mammalia; Rodentia; Sciuridae.
GCUGGGUGCAGUGACACGCGCCUGUAAUCUCAGCUGCUAAGGAGGCUGAGGCAGGAGGAUGGCGAGUUCAAAGCCAGCCUCAGAAAAAGCAAGGUGCUAAGCAACUCAGUGAGACCCUGUCUCUA